RNAcentral lists this ribosomal RNA (253 nucleotides) under uncultured bacterium. RNAcentral's name for it is "partial 16S ribosomal RNA". It matches the Rfam family "Bacterial small subunit ribosomal RNA", at positions 524 to 776 of the family's 1533-position model. The record is from RNAcentral.
UACGUAGGGUGCAAGCGUUAAUCGGAAUUACUGGGCGUAAAGCGUGCGCAGGCGGUUUUGUAAGUCUGUCGUGAAAUCCCCGGGCUCAACCUGGGAAUUGCGAUGGAGACUGCACGGCUAGAGUGUGUCAGAGGGGGGUAGAAUUCCGCGUGUAGCAGUGAAAUGCGUAGAUAUGCGGAGGAACACCGAUGGCGAAGGCAAUCCCCUGGGCCUGCACUGACGCUCAUGCACGAAAGCGUGGGGAGCAAACAGG